RNAcentral lists this ribosomal RNA (2916 nucleotides) under Pseudomonas agarici. RNAcentral's name for it is "23S ribosomal RNA". It matches the Rfam family "Bacterial large subunit ribosomal RNA". Lineage: Bacteria; Pseudomonadati; Pseudomonadota; Gammaproteobacteria; Pseudomonadales; Pseudomonadaceae. The record is from RNAcentral.
GUUAUAGGGUCAAGUGAAGAAGCGCAUACGGUGGAUGCCUUGGCAGUCAGAGGCGAUGAAAGACGUGGUAGCCUGCGAAAAGCUUCGGGGAGUCGGCAAACAGACUGUGAUCCGGAGAUGUCUGAAUGGGGGAACCCAGCCAUCAUAAGAUGGUUAUCUUGUACUGAAUACAUAGGUGCAAGAGGCGAACCAGGGGAACUGAAACAUCUAAGUACCCUGAGGAAAAGAAAUCAACCGAGAUUCCCUUAGUAGUGGCGAGCGAACGGGGACUAGCCCUUAAGUGGCUUUGAGAUUAGCGGAACGCUCUGGAAAGUGCGGCCAUAGUGGGUGAUAGCCCUGUACGCGAAAAUCUCUUAGUCAUGAAAUCGAGUAGGACGGGGCACGAGAAACCUUGUCUGAAUAUGGGGGGACCAUCCUCCAAGGCUAAAUACUACUGACUGACCGAUAGUGAACUAGUACCGUGAGGGAAAGGCGAAAAGAACCCCGGAGAGGGGAGUGAAAUAGAUCCUGAAACCGUCUGCGUACAAGCAGUGGGAGCCCACUUGUUGGGUGACUGCGUACCUUUUGUAUAAUGGGUCAGCGACUUAUUUUCAGUGGCAAGCUUAACCGAAUAGGGGAGGCGUAGCGAAAGCGAGUCUUAAUAGGGCGUCUAGUCGCUGGGAAUAGACCCGAAACCGGGCGAUCUAUCCAUGGGCAGGUUGAAGGUUGGGUAACACUAACUGGAGGACCGAACCGACUACCGUUGAAAAGUUAGCGGAUGACCUGUGGAUCGGAGUGAAAGGCUAAUCAAGCUCGGAGAUAGCUGGUUCUCCUCGAAAGCUAUUUAGGUAGCGCCUCAUGUAUCACUGUAGGGGGUAGAGCACUGUUUCGGCUAGGGGGUCAUCCCGACUUACCAAACCGAUGCAAACUCCGAAUACCUACAAGUGCCGAGCAUGGGAGACACACGGCGGGUGCUAACGUCCGUCGUGAAAAGGGAAACAACCCAGACCGUCAGCUAAGGUCCCAAAGUCAUGGUUAAGUGGGAAACGAUGUGGGAAGGCUUAGACAGCUAGGAGGUUGGCUUAGAAGCAGCCACCCUUUAAAGAAAGCGUAAUAGCUCACUAGUCGAGUCGGCCUGCGCGGAAGAUGUAACGGGGCUCAAACCAUGCACCGAAGCUACGGGUAUCACUUAGGUGAUGCGGUAGAGGAGCGUUCUGUAAGCCUGUGAAGGUGAGUUGAGAAGCUUGCUGGAGGUAUCAGAAGUGCGAAUGCUGACAUGAGUAACGACAAUGGGUGUGAAAAACACCCACGCCGAAAGACCAAGGUUUCCUGCGCAACGUUAAUCGACGCAGGGUGAGUCGGUCCCUAAGGCGAGGCUGAAAAGCGUAGUCGAUGGAAAACAGGUUAAUAUUCCUGUACUUCUGGUUAUUGCGAUGGAGGGACGGAGAAGGCUAGGCCAGCUUGGCGUUGGUUGUCCAAGUUUAAGGUGGUAGGCUGAAAUCUUAGGUAAAUCCGGGGUUUCAAGGCCGAGAGCUGAUGACGAGUUACCCUUUAGGGUGACGAAGUGGUUGAUGCCAUGCUUCCAAGAAAAGCUUCUAAGCUUCAGAUAACCAGGAACCGUACCCCAAACCGACACAGGUGGUUGGGUAGAGAAUACCAAGGCGCUUGAGAGAACUCGGGUGAAGGAACUAGGCAAAAUGGCACCGUAACUUCGGGAGAAGGUGCGCCGGUGAGGGUGAAGGACUUGCUCCGUAAGCUCAUGCCGGUCGAAGAUACCAGGCCGCUGCGACUGUUUAUUAAAAACACAGCACUCUGCAAACACGAAAGUGGACGUAUAGGGUGUGACGCCUGCCCGGUGCCGGAAGGUUAAUUGAUGGGGUUAGCUCACGCGAAGCUCUUGAUCGAAGCCCCGGUAAACGGCGGCCGUAACUAUAACGGUCCUAAGGUAGCGAAAUUCCUUGUCGGGUAAGUUCCGACCUGCACGAAUGGCGUAACGAUGGCGGCGCUGUCUCCACCCGAGACUCAGUGAAAUUGAAAUCGCUGUGAAGAUGCAGUGUAUCCGCGGCUAGACGGAAAGACCCCGUGAACCUUUACUAUAGCUUUGCACUGGACUUUGAAUUUGCUUGUGUAGGAUAGGUGGGAGGCUUUGAAGCGUGGACGCCAGUUCGCGUGGAGCCAUCCUUGAAAUACCACCCUGGCAACUUUGAGGUUCUAACUCAGGUCCGUUAUCCGGAUCGAGGACAGUGUAUGGUGGGUAGUUUGACUGGGGCGGUCUCCUCCUAAAGAGUAACGGAGGAGUACGAAGGUGCGCUCAGACCGGUCGGAAAUCGGUCGUAGAGUAUAAAGGCAAAAGCGCGCUUGACUGCGAGACAGACACGUCGAGCAGGUACGAAAGUAGGUCUUAGUGAUCCGGUGGUUCUGUAUGGAAGGGCCAUCGCUCAACGGAUAAAAGGUACUCCGGGGAUAACAGGCUGAUACCGCCCAAGAGUUCAUAUCGACGGCGGUGUUUGGCACCUCGAUGUCGGCUCAUCACAUCCUGGGGCUGAAGCCGGUCCCAAGGGUAUGGCUGUUCGCCAUUUAAAGUGGUACGCGAGCUGGGUUUAGAACGUCGUGAGACAGUUCGGUCCCUAUCUGCCGUGGACGUUUGAGAUUUGAGAGGGGCUGCUCCUAGUACGAGAGGACCGGAGUGGACGAACCUCUGGUGUUCCGGUUGUCACGCCAGUGGCAUUGCCGGGUAGCUAUGUUCGGGAAAGAUAACCGCUGAAAGCAUCUAAGCGGGAAACUUGCCUCAAGAUGAGAUCUCACUGGAACCUUGAGUUCCCUGAAGGGCCGUCGAAGACUACGACGUUGAUAGGUGGGGUGUGUAAGCGCUGUGAGGCGUUGAGCUAACCCAUACUAAUUGCCCGUGAGGCUUGACCCUAUAACACCCAAGCAAUU